UUUUAUUUGAGAGUUUGAUCCUGGCUCAGGAUGAACGCUGGCGGCGUGCCUAACACAUGCAAGUUGAGCGAUUUACUUCGGUAAAGAGCGGCGGACGGGUGAGUAACGCGUGGGUAACCUACCCUGUACACACGGAUAACAUACCGAAAGGUAUGCUAAUACGGGAUAAUAUAUUUGAGAGGCAUCUCUUAAAUAUCAAAGGUGAGCCAGUACAGGAUGGACCCGCGUCUGAUUAGCUAGUUGGUAAGGUAACGGCUUACCAAGGCGACGAUCAGUAGCCGACCUGAGAGGGUGAUCGGCCACAUUGGAACUGAGACACGGUCCAAACUCCUACGGGAGGCAGCAGUGGGGAAUAUUGCACAAUGGGCGAAAGCCUGAUGCAGCAACGCGGCGUGAGUG
This 399-nucleotide ribosomal RNA is filed under the name Clostridioides difficile. Its description in RNAcentral is "bacterial SSU rRNA". It matches the Rfam family "Bacterial small subunit ribosomal RNA", at positions 1 to 407 of the family's 1533-position model. The record is from RNAcentral. Lineage: Bacteria; Bacillati; Bacillota; Clostridia; Peptostreptococcales; Peptostreptococcaceae.